AGCGAACGCUGGCGGCAGGCUUAACACAUGCAAGUCGAGCGGACCUUUCGGGGUCAGCGGCGGACGGGUGAGUAACGCGUGGGAACGUGCCUUCCGGUUCGGAAUAACCCUGGGAAACUAGGGCUAAUACCGGAUACGCCCUUAUGGGGAAAGGUUUACUGCCGGAAGAUCGGCCGCGUCUGAUUAGCUAGUUGGUGGGGUAACGGCCUACCAAGGCGACGAUCAGUAGCUGGUCUGAGAGGAUGAUCAGCCACACUGGGACUGAGACACGGCCCAGACUCCUACGGGAGGCAGCAGUGGGGAAUAUUGGACAAUGGGCGCAAGCCUGAUCCAGCCAUGCCGCGUGAGUGAUGAAGGCCUUAGGGUUGUAAAGCUCUUUUAUCCGGGACGAUAAUGACGGUACCGGAGGAAUAAGCCCCGGCUAACUUCGUG
This 432-nucleotide ribosomal RNA is filed under the name uncultured bacterium. RNAcentral's name for it is "partial 16S ribosomal RNA". It matches the Rfam family "Bacterial small subunit ribosomal RNA", at positions 29 to 507 of the family's 1533-position model. The record is from RNAcentral.